Carlito syrichta (Philippine tarsier) is the source of this 684-nucleotide RNA transcript. It is a transcript of the gene named 40S ribosomal protein S9-like, with no coding region annotated. The transcript has 2 exons. The record is from RefSeq and is a predicted model, not a curated record. NCBI's taxonomy places the organism in Eukaryota, Metazoa, Chordata, Mammalia, Primates, Tarsiidae.
AUGGAGCAGACUUCACUAAGAAACAUGUUUCGGAACGUCGGCUCAGACGGGCAAACAAGCGCCUACACGCUGGGGGUCCGGAGCCGGGUUUGUCGCAAAACUUAUGUGACCCCGCGGAGACCCUCCGAGAAAUCCCCACUCGACCAAGAGCUGAAGCUGAUCGGCGAGCAUGGGCUCCGGAACAAACGAGAGGCCUGGAGGGUCAAGUUUACGCUGGCCACGAUCCCCAAGGCCGCCCGGGAUCUGCUGGUGGAGGACGAGAAGGACCCGGGGCGUCUGUUUGAAGGCAAUGUCCUGCUGCGGCGACUCGCGCAGUGGCGUGCUGGAUGAGGGCAAGAUGAAGCCGGAUUACAUCCUGGGCCUGAAGAUCGCGGAUUUCUUGGAGAGGCGCCUGCGGAGCUAGGUCUUCAAGCCGGCCUUGGCCAAGUCCGCCCAUCACGCUCGUGUGCUGAUCCGCCAGCGCCGUAUCAGGGUCCGCAAACAGGUUGCGAGCAUCCCGUCCUUCGUUGUCCCCCUGGAUUUCCAGAAGCACAUUGACUUCUCCCUCCGCCCUCCAUGUGGGGGUGGCCGCCCAGGCCCGUGAAGCGGAAGAACGCCAAGGGCCAGGGUGGGGCCGCAGCUGGAGAGACAAGGAGGGGGAUCAAGCCCAUCCAGGAGCCCCUCCUGGGCUGGUGGAUGGUCUAG